This 253-nucleotide ribosomal RNA is filed under the name uncultured microorganism. RNAcentral describes it as "partial small subunit ribosomal RNA". It matches the Rfam family "Bacterial small subunit ribosomal RNA", at positions 524 to 776 of the family's 1533-position model. The record is from RNAcentral.
UACGUAGGGGGCAAGCGUUAUCCGGAUUUACUGGGUGUAAAGGGAGCGUAGACGGUUAUGUAAGUCUGAUGUGAAAACCCGGGGCUCAACCCCGGGACUGCAUUGGAAACUAUGUAACUAGAGUGUCGGAGAGGUAAGUGGAAUUCCUAGUGUAGCGGUGAAAUGCGUAGAUAUUAGGAGGAACACCAGUGGCGAAGGCGGCUUACUGGACGAUCACUGACGUUGAGGCUCGAAAGCGUGGGGAGCAAACAGG